GGGGGGGGGGGGGGGGGGGGGGGGGGGGGGCGGGGCGGGGGGGGCCGGCGGGUGUGGUGGGGCGCGGGUGCGUAACGCGGGGGGACCUGCCCUGCGGUUCGGAAUAACUCCCCGAAAGGGGUGCUGAUACCGGAUGCUGUCUUCGGGCCAAAGGUUUAUCGCCUUUGGAUGGUGCCGCGUUGGCUUAGCUAGUUGGUAGGGUAAACGCCUACCAAGGCGACGAGCCAGAGCUGGGCGGAGAGGAUGAUCAGCCACACUGGGACUGAGACACGGCCCAGCCUCCUACGAGAGGAAGCAGUGGGGAAUAUUGGACAAUGGGCGAAAGCCUGAUCCAGCAAUGCCGCGUGAGUGAUGAAGGCCUUAGGGUUGUAAAGCUCUUUUACCCGGGAUGAUAAUGACAGUACCGGGAGAAUAAGCUCCGGCUAACUCCGUG
This 433-nucleotide ribosomal RNA is filed under the name uncultured bacterium. RNAcentral describes it as "partial 16S ribosomal RNA". It matches the Rfam family "Bacterial small subunit ribosomal RNA", at positions 39 to 507 of the family's 1533-position model. The record is from RNAcentral.